RNAcentral lists this ribosomal RNA (498 nucleotides) under uncultured bacterium. RNAcentral describes it as "partial 16S ribosomal RNA". It matches the Rfam family "Bacterial small subunit ribosomal RNA", at positions 30 to 523 of the family's 1533-position model. The record is from RNAcentral.
AUUGAACGCUGGCGGCAUGCCUUACACAUGCAAGUCGAACGGUAACAGGUCUUCGGAUGCUGACGAGUGGCGAACGGGUGAGUAAUACAUCGGAACGUGCCUAGUAGUGGGGGAUAACUACUCGAAAGAGUGGCUAAUACCGCAUGAGAUCUACGGAUGAAAGCAGGGGAUCGCAAGACCUUGUGCUACUAGAGCGGCCGAUGGCAGAUUAGGUAGUUGGUGGGAUAAAAGCUUACCAAGCCGACGAUCUGUAGCUGGUCUGAGAGGACGAUCAGCCACACUGGGACUGAGAAACGGCCCAGACUCCUACGGGAGGCAGCAGUGGGGAAGUUUGGACAAUGGGCGCAAGGCUGAUCCAGCAAUGCCGCGUGCAGGAUGAAGGCCUUCGGGUUGUAAACUGCUUUUGUACGGAACGAAAAGCCCCGGGUUAAUACCCUGGGGUCAUGACGGUACCGUAAGAAUAAGCACCGGCUAACUACGUGCCAGCCGCCGCGGUAA